Long non-coding RNA from Colletes gigas, 411 nucleotides. RefSeq lists it as uncharacterized. The transcript has 4 exons. Lineage: Eukaryota; Metazoa; Arthropoda; Insecta; Hymenoptera; Colletidae. The record is from RefSeq and is a predicted model, not a curated record.
UCGUUUCGAAUCCAGCUUCGUGCGAAACAAUUCAACAUGUGCUUCGAAAAUUUUUUGUUAGCAACAGUAAGAACGAUAGAAAGAAUUUAUUCGACUUGAAAGAGUGGAAACGUUAUGGUACAAUGUGAUCGACAAUUUUAAUCGUGCUUAGGAAGUGAUCAAUAACAUAAAAGCAUAAACUCAUGGUGGUACCAUGUGUUCGGGAUUUUGACAAAAGAAUGGAUGUAUCGGAUCUAUAGUCUGAAUCUUUCGCAACAAAAAGAAACUACAAGAAAUAGCCAAAUUUAAUUCAUGGUGACAAGAUACCUCAACAUGGCUGUAACAUCUAAUUUGUACUUUGUUGGAAGAAAUAACCAUAUAAAUGAUAAAUAACAUUUUAUAAACAUUUGUACAUGCUCUAUACUGAUCAAA